This 334-nucleotide unclassified non-coding RNA is filed under the name soil metagenome. RNAcentral's name for it is "partial contains 5.8S ribosomal RNA, internal transcribed spacer 2, and large subunit ribosomal RNA". The stretch from base 1 to 120 matches the Rfam family "5.8S ribosomal RNA", at positions 35 to 154 of the family's 154-position model. The record is from RNAcentral.
GAUGAAGAACGUAGUGAAAUGCGAUAAGUAAUGUGAAUUGCAGAAUUCAGUGAAUCAUCGAAUCUUUGAACGCACAUUGCGCCCCUUGGUAUUCCAUGGGGCAUGCCUGUUCGAGCGUCAUUUGUACCUUCAAGCUUUGCUUGGUGUUGGGUGUUUGUCCAUUCUCUUGCAGAGGGACUCGCCUUAAAGUAAUUGGCAGCCAGUGUUUUGGUUUUGAAGCGCAGCACAAGUCGCGAUUCAACGCUAUACGCCAGCUUCCACAAGCCUUUUUCACUUUUGACCUCGGAUCAGGUAGGGAUACCCGCUGAACUUAAGCAUAUCAAUAAGCGGAGGA